AUAAAUAUGGUGAUGAAGACAAGUUCGGUAAUCGGCAGACUUCAGAGAGCUGGUGGUCGGUGGGAACCAGUGCUGCUGUUAUGGAAUAGCACUUCGGAAUAGGCAAGCUGAAACAUUAGUAGGUCUGCCCGCUUCAUGCCCGUUACGCAUGGCGCCAAUGAAGACUGUUGGAAAACAGUGAAAAAGGGUGGUACCGCGAGAGUGAUAACUUUUCGCCCCUUAC
This 223-nucleotide non-coding RNA is filed under the name Sediminibacillus halophilus. Its description in RNAcentral is "T-box sequence". It matches the Rfam family "T-box leader". From Rfam's summary of the family: Uncharged tRNA acts as the effector for transcription antitermination of genes in the T-box leader family. T-boxes are found upstream of many aminoacyl-tRNA synthetase genes and some amino acid biosynthetic genes usually in Gram-positive bacteria. Lineage: Bacteria; Bacillati; Bacillota; Bacilli; Caryophanales; Bacillaceae. The record is from RNAcentral.